GGAUCUGUACUUCUUACAACUGAGCUUUGUUAUCUCCUUGGCGGGUUUUAGGUAAACCUGACAGAACUGUUAUAGCUCAAGCUAUAACAAAUGGAACAUAGCACCACAAGGCCUCAUGUCUCCCAGGGGGAAUAGCCCAGAGGACCGAGGCUGGAAAGCUACAAAGAUGUACCUAAAAAAAGGUAUCCAGAUUUCCCCAAAUCCUACUAAUUUGGAUAAGGAACAUAUUUCUGCAGCUAUUAUUAGAACCGUAAAAGUGACCCAGAGUUCAGCUUUUUUCAGUUUGUGCAAUCAAGAUUUCAGCUAUUGCUGGACACAGUGCUUGGGUUAUUAACAUCACUAGAGUUCAGCAGGUAAGAGUUAAAGUUGUAUAAAUUUCUUUAACUUGAAAUUUUAAAUUUCUGCUUCUUUCAGCUCUCCUUUUGUUAAUGCGUAGAACACACUUUUUGCUUGUAACCAGAAAAAGUUACUAGAGAAAAAUGUUAUAAAUGACAUAACUUAUGCUGUGAGAAUGAGUUGUGUAUCAUGUCUAUGCUCCAUUUGAAGUGUACUCACCUUCCAGAAAUAGCUCAGCAGAAUGGUCUCAGUGCAGGGAUCCAGAAGGACUGAAUUUAAUCCUGGUUCUUUCACUGGUCUGCAGCAUGACCUUCAGCAAUCUUUGUGCCAUUUUCCUGCUUGCUAAAAUGAAAAAAAUAAUACUUACGGCCUUUGCAAAGCACUUUCAGAGUAGAGCAUAUGAAUCGAUAACAUCUUCUUAAGCAUGUGAAAUAGCAGAGGAAACUCUUCCCACUUGCAUUAGUGCACUUUCAGCAUUCAGAAAUGUGAAAUUAUAAAGAUUACUAUGUGAAAGAAAGAUUAUGAGAAGUGUUACCAGUUGGAAUGUGAAGGAAAACAGUACUAAGUUGAUGUACCACAAUAAAGAAUAAAAUACGCAUUUUCA
RNAcentral lists this long non-coding RNA (940 nucleotides) under Coturnix japonica (Japanese quail). RNAcentral describes it as "lncRNA (ENSCJPG00005017758.1)". Lineage: Eukaryota; Metazoa; Chordata; Aves; Galliformes; Phasianidae. The record is from RNAcentral.